Long non-coding RNA from Ictalurus punctatus (channel catfish), 1227 nucleotides. Lineage: Eukaryota; Metazoa; Chordata; Actinopteri; Siluriformes; Ictaluridae. The record is from Ensembl.
GCAGGAUGCCACAAGAAACCCUCCCAUCUCUUUUCAUUUCAUCCCGACCGGACGCCAUUACAGUCAGCCUGAAUCAAACAGCAGCUUCACCUCUCAGAACGUGGAGCAGAGCACAGAGAAAAGAUCAAAGCCAUAGUGAGCGAGCACAACAUGCAUGUAAAGAGGCUGGUGGGGCAAAUAAAAUGGGUUAAUUGGAAGGAAGUGCACUACUCCAGUGCCUUUUUAAUCCCAUCUUUAUGAAUGCUAUCAGAGAAAUUGCUGCUCUCCUGGGAUUUUUACACACAAUAUUCUCUAGAGUUUACACAGUAUGGUACCAAAAACAAUCCAGUGAUGCAAGGAGACACAGCCUGUUGAUGAGAAAGGGUAGAGGAGAAUGGCCAAAUUGGUUCAAGCUGACAGGAAGGUUACAGUAACUCAAAUAACUACACUGUACAACCAUGUUGAGCAGAAAAGCAUCUCAGAAUGCACAAUACGUCAAACAAAGAGGCGGAUGAACUACAACAGCAGAAGACCAAACCGGGUUCCACUCGUGUCAGUCGAACAAGAAUCUGAGACUACAGCUGAAGACUGGAAAAAUGUUACUGGUCUUUUUCCAGUCUUCAAUUUUGACAUUAUGGAUAUUUAAAAUGCUAUCAUGGUUCAAGUAAAGUGAAUAUGUUAAAAUGUUCCUCAUAGUAAGCUGUAAGACACUAUUAACUUUUAUUUUUGUAAUUUAAUAUGGUUAACACUUAAGUCCAGAUUAAUUACAAAAACACAUUCAUGUAAUUAAUAAUAAAGGCAUAUUACAAUAAAAUGAUAUGUAGGUACUGCAUGUGUCCUUGUCAUUUCUGGAAGCACUUAAUGAUGACACUUUAAAUGUUGAUAAUGUUUUUAUAAUUGUUAAUGAAUAUUACAGUUGAUUUAUAAGUAUGUAGUAAACUACUAAAUAUUAUAAUGAAUAGUCACAUUUGUAUUGCAACAUUAUUGUAAUCAACAAAUUAUUUUACAGCUAUUGCAGCAAUGAAUUAUUUAUAGUAUUUAUAAGCGCUAUAAGAUUCACAUCACUAUAUACCAAUGGAUUGUUUAUAGCACGUUAUUAGAACUUAAUGAGGCAUCAUUAGAGUUUAUAAAAAUGCUUAGCAACCUAUAAAGAAUUAUAAGCACAGUUAUAAUGGUGUUUAUAUCAGGUGUUGCUAAAUAUAUUUCAGGUGAUACAGGUAUAGCGAAGGAACUGGAUUUACCUUUUAU